CGUUAAAAACUUCAUCCACUUGUACUAUUAAAAACUAACAAAAUCAACACAAUAACCAAAAAAUAACACGUGACAUGCUACGUGUACAUCAUGCUAACGUACAAAACUAAUUUUUAACAAUAGAAAUUGAUGAAUUUUUAACA
This 143-nucleotide microRNA precursor is filed under the name Gossypium arboreum. Its description in RNAcentral is "MIR7502 microRNA precursor family". It matches the Rfam family "MIR7502 microRNA precursor family". Lineage: Eukaryota; Viridiplantae; Streptophyta; Magnoliopsida; Malvales; Malvaceae. The record is from Rfam by way of RNAcentral.